GCCAACUGCGUGUAGUCGUCUGAGGUAAUACGGGUGGGGCAAGCUGUGGGCGGGAGUAUUGGGGGUAACGAGCUCGUAGGCGGUCUGGUGCGUCGGCUGUGAAAAGCCGGGGCUCAACCCCGGGCCUGCAGUCGAUACGGGCAGACUAGGGUGCGGUAGGGGGGACUGGAAUUCCUGGUGUAGCGGUGAAAUGCGCAGAUAUCAGGAGGAACACCGGUGGCGAAGGCGGGUCUCUGGGCCGUAACUGACGCUGAGGAGCGAAAGCGUGGGGAGCGAACAGGAUUAGAUACCCGAGUAGUC
This 300-nucleotide ribosomal RNA is filed under the name uncultured Thermovibrio sp. RNAcentral's name for it is "bacterial SSU rRNA". It matches the Rfam family "Bacterial small subunit ribosomal RNA", at positions 496 to 795 of the family's 1533-position model. The record is from RNAcentral. Lineage: Bacteria; Pseudomonadati; Aquificota; Aquificia; Desulfurobacteriales; Desulfurobacteriaceae.